This is a non-coding RNA of Auriculariales sp. MPI-PUGE-AT-0066, 109 nucleotides long. NCBI's taxonomy places the organism in Eukaryota, Fungi, Basidiomycota, Agaricomycetes, Auriculariales. The record is from the annotation of a GenBank genome assembly.
GACUGGAUGGCCGAGUGGUCUAAGGCGUGUGACUCAAGCGUUAGCUUGCCUUCGGGCGCAGGGUUCUCAUGGGCGUAUGCCCGCAGGAGUUCGAACCUCCUUCCAGUCA